UCAUCAUCUGCCUCCAUCUCACCCUGUCCUAAACGUUUUCCUCUGUCACACCAACCUUCUGCAUCUCCUCCAUCACUCCAUCGAUGAACCUCAUCUGUGGUCUUUGUAUCCGCAUGUGUCAAAGAUUUUAUGCCGGAUGCUCUUCCUGACGUACUUCUGCCCUUUUAUCUGGGUGUAGCACUGACACUAGGAGUACACUGGCUUGUGGCCGCUCCUGUGGAUGGCUUGAAUGAAUUUGGACAAAACAUAAAAAAGCAAACUAAAAAGGCUGAAGACACUGUUGGCGACUGGACUGAAAGUGGAAAAAUCAGUGAAUGAUGGAAAAUUUCUCUAACAUUAAAUCCUCUGUCUUUUGCGCAUGCUAAGGAAAUCGCAUACCCGCAUGCACAUACCCCAGCAAAAUGCGGCACAUCUUGCUACAAACCCUUUUGGACUUAAAAAGACAAAAAACAACAGCAAAAAAAAUCCAAGGAGCUGACAGGAGAAAAAAAUGCUGCUGUGUGGGGAGGUAUUUGCUGGAAAGGAGCUCAAGAAAGUGUCAACACUUUUAAUGGCCAGACAGGACUUGGACAGCUUUGUAAAAGCAGUCAAAAACAGUGUGACACUAUGUGCGAGGAGACAGACAGAAAACUGAAAGAAAAGGAGAAGUAAGCCUGGACCUUAAAAGAAAAUCUGAGCAUCCAGCAGAGUGAGAGUGAGAAGGUCAAAAAACACCAAGCGACAGAGUGCAAACAAGGCAGUGAGGUGAAGCUGUCACUAAACACAACAGCAAAGCUGGCGGGGGGGGGGUGACCAUUGAGUUUAAAACUCUGUAGGAACACUGUGGAAAAACUUCAUCCAAGACAGCUGAAAUUUCAAACUUGAAAUGAUGGCACUGGUAUGAAAACAUUUGGCCAAGCUGAAAACAAUUAAGCCGAAACACCACCAGAGCAAAACAGAAUGCCAGAAAAAUUUCAAAGCUCUGGAGGACUGUCUCAGAUGUGAGCUGGCAGCAAGGGAGACCUGCUUCAAAAGAAAGAAAGAAAGCGAAAAAGCUUCAGAAACAGAGAAGAGACAAUAAAGAGAAGCGGCUUUCCAUGGUGAGGAGUUUGUCAACAUGGUGAGAAAGCUGGAGGAGGAGAUCAGGCUCACGAGCCAUGCAAAACGCUGAGCUAAUGCCAUUUUACCUAAUCGUUUGAGUUACAUGAUAAUAUGAUGGAUUGUAGGAUUUUUUUCUUUUCAAAAUGAAAAUAAAAUGCUUUGUGUGUCUUUUUAUGAGCUUACCUUAAAAACUGACGAAGGCAAAGCCGAGAUGAAAAGGGAGAAGGCUAGAGAUGGAAGUAGUAGAGAAACAAGAGAUUAAGAAAGCAUGAACAUAAAGUGAAAACAGUUGAAGAAAGAGCAAAAUAAUAGGAAUACUACAAGAGAAAAAGAAGGGGAGAGACAGAACAAAAAAUAAGGAGAGAUAUAAAAGAAAAGAAGGAGGAAAGCAGAAAGACAGAAAAGUAAGUCUCCCUUCUUAAACCCCACUUUCCCUUUUACCUAGUAAAUGCAGUUAGGUCCAUAUAUAUUUGGACAGAGAAAACAUUUUAUUUAUAAUUUUGGUUCUGCACAUUACUCCAAAGAAUUUUAAACGAAACCACUCAGAUGCAGUUGAAGUGCAGACUUUCAGCUUUAAUUCAGUGGGUUGAAUAAGAGAUUGCUGGCAAUGACAGCCUGACGUCUUGAACUCAUGGACAUCACCAGAUGCUGGGUUUCCUCCAAUUUAACGCUCUGCCAGGCCUUUACUGCAGCAGCUUGUUUGUGGGCCUUUCUGUCUGAAGUUUAGUCUUUAUCAAGUGAAAUGCAGCUCAAUUGGGUUAAGAUCAGGGGACUGGCUUGGCCAUUGAAGAAUAUUCCACUUCUUUGCUUUAAUAAACUCCUGGGUUGCUUUGGCUAUAUGUUUUGGGUCAUUGUCCAUCUGUAUUAUGACACCCAAUCAAUUUGACUGCAUUUAGCUGGAGCUAAGCUUUGAGCAUGUCUUUGUACGUGUCUCUGAACACCUCAGA
Molecule: long non-coding RNA, 2027 nt
Organism: Oreochromis niloticus (Nile tilapia)
Lineage: Eukaryota; Metazoa; Chordata; Actinopteri; Cichliformes; Cichlidae
Exons: 3
Source: RefSeq, a predicted model, not a curated record